GCCGGGUGCGGUGGUGCAGGCCUGUAAUCCUAGUGGCUGGGGAGGCUGAGGCAGGAGGAUCAUGAGUUCAAAUCCAGCUUUAGCAAUUUAGUGAGGCCCUAAGCAACUCAGUGAGACCCUGUCUCUA
This 127-nucleotide small RNA is filed under the name Marmota monax (woodchuck). Lineage: Eukaryota; Metazoa; Chordata; Mammalia; Rodentia; Sciuridae. The record is from RNAcentral.